GGAUGAACGCUGGCGGCGUGCCUACUACAUGCAAGUCGAGCGAACAGACGAGGAGCUUGCUCCUCUGACGUUAGCGGCGGACGGGUGAGUAACACGUGGAUAACCUACCUAUAAGACUGGGAUAACUUCGGGAAACCGGAGCUAAUACCGGAUAAUAUAUUGAACCGCAUGGUUCAAUAGUGAAAGACGGUUUUGCUGUCACUUAUAGAUGGAUCCGCGCCGCAUUAGCUAGUUGGUAAGGUAACGGCUUACCAAGGCAACGAUGCGUAGCCGACCUGAGAGGGUGAUCGGCCACACUGGAACUGAGACACGGUCCAGACUCCUACGGGAGGCAGCAGUAGGGAAUCUUCCGCAAUGGGCGAAAGCCUGACGGAGCAACGCCGCGUGAGUGAUGAAGGUCCUCGGAUCGUAAAACUCUGUUAUUAGGGAAGAACAAAUGUGUAAGUAACUAUGCACGUCUUGACGGUACCUAAUCAGAAAGCCACGGCUAACUACGUG
Molecule: ribosomal RNA, 498 nt
Filed under: uncultured bacterium
Lineage: Bacteria
Description: partial 16S ribosomal RNA
Rfam family: Bacterial small subunit ribosomal RNA
Source: RNAcentral